This 468-nucleotide ribosomal RNA is filed under the name uncultured bacterium. RNAcentral describes it as "partial 16S ribosomal RNA". It matches the Rfam family "Bacterial small subunit ribosomal RNA", at positions 28 to 507 of the family's 1533-position model. The record is from RNAcentral.
GACGAACGCUGGCGGCGUGCUUAACACAUGCAAGUCGAACGGAAAGGCCCUGCGUUUGUGGGGUGCUCGAGUGGCGAACGGGUGAGUAACACGUGAGUAACCUGCCCUUGACUUUGGGAUAACUUCAGGGAACUGGGGCUAAUACCGGAUAGGAGCUCCUGCUGCAUGGUGGGGGUUGGAAAGUUUCGGCGGUUGGGGAUGGACUCGCGGCUUAUCAGCUUGUUGGUGGGGUAGUGGCUUACCAAGGCUUUGACGGGUAGCCGGCCUGAGAGGGUGACCGGCCACAUUGGGACUGAGAUACGGCCCAGACUCCUACGGGAGGCAGCAGUGGGGAAUAUUGCACAAUGGGCGGAAGCCUGAUGCAGCAACGCCGCGUGCGGGAUGACGGCCUUCGGGUUGUAAACCGCUUUCGCCUGUGACGAAGCGUGAGUGACGGUACUGAGUAAAGAAGCACCGGCUAACUACGUG